UUUAAUAUGGCAGAUAAAGUGCAAUAGAUUUAAACUCUAUUUAUAAAGAAUUUUCUUUUAUUAAUA
Molecule: transfer RNA, 66 nt
Filed under: Polyrhachis moesta
Lineage: Eukaryota; Metazoa; Arthropoda; Insecta; Hymenoptera; Formicidae
Description: tRNA-Leu
Source: RNAcentral